RNAcentral lists this ribosomal RNA (301 nucleotides) under uncultured bacterium. RNAcentral's name for it is "partial 16S ribosomal RNA". It matches the Rfam family "Bacterial small subunit ribosomal RNA", at positions 509 to 807 of the family's 1533-position model. The record is from RNAcentral.
CAGUCGCCGCGGUAAUACGUAGGGUGCGAGCGUUAAUCGUAAUUACUGGGCGUAAAGCGUGCGCAGGCGGUUUGUUAAGACAGAUGUGAAAUCCCCGGGCUCAACCUGGGAACUGCAUUUGUGACUGGCAAGCUAGAGUAUGGCAGAGGGGGGUGGAAUUCCGCGUGUAGCAGUGAGAUGCGUAGAUAUGCGGAGGAACACCGAUGGCGAAGGCAGCCCCCUGGGCCAAUACUGACGCUCAUGCACGAAAGCGUGGGGAGCAAACAGGAAUAGAUACCCGCGUAGUCCCUGACUCUUAUAC